GGUCUCCGUAGGUGAACCUGCGGAGGGAUCAUUACAAGAACGCCCGGGCUUCGGCCUGGUUAUUCAUAACCCUUUGUUGUCCGACUCUGUUGCCUCCGGGGCGACCCUGCCUUCGGGCGGGGGCUCCGGGUGGACACUUCAAACUCUUGCGUAACUUUGCAGUCUGAGUAAACUUAAUUAGUAAAUUAAAACUUUUAACAACGGAUCUCUUGGUUCUGGCAUCGAUGAAGAACGCAGCGAAAUGCGAUAAGUAAUGUGAAUUGCAGAAUUCAGUGAAUCAUCGAAUCUUUGAACGCACAUUGCGCCCCCUGGUAUUCCGGGGGGCAUGCCUGUUCGAGCGUCAUUUCACCACUCAAGCCUCGCUUGGUAUUGGGCAACGCGGUCCGCCGCGUGCCUCAAAUCGUCCGGCUGGGUCUUCUGUCCCCUAAGCGUUGUGGAAACUAUCCGCUAAAGGGUGUUCGGGAGGCUACGCCGUAAAACAACCCCAUUUCUAAGGUUGACCUCGGAUCAGGUAGGGAUACCCGCUGAACUUA
RNAcentral lists this ribosomal RNA (533 nucleotides) under uncultured fungus. RNAcentral describes it as "eukaryotic LSU rRNA". The stretch from base 190 to 343 matches the Rfam family "5.8S ribosomal RNA". The record is from RNAcentral. Lineage: Eukaryota; Fungi.